AUUGAACGCUGGCGGCAUGCCUUACACAUGCAAGUCGAACGGCAGCACGGAGAGCUUGCUCUCUGAUGGCGAGUGGCGAACGGGUGAGUAAUGCAUCGGAACGUACCGUGUAAUGGGGGAUAACGUAGCGAAAGUUACGCUAAUACCGCAUACGACCUGAGGGUGAAAGCAGGGGAUCGCAAGACCUUGCGUUAUACGAGCGGCCGAUGUCAGAUUAGCUAGUUGGUGAGGUAAAGGCUCACCAAGGCGACGAUCUGUAGCGGGUCUGAGAGGGUGGACCCGCACACUGGGACUGGGACACGGCCCAGACUCCCACGGGGGGCAGCAGUGGGGAAUUUUUGACAAUGGGGGCAACCCUGAUCCAGCCAUGCCGCGUGAGUGAAGAAGGCCUUCGGGUUGUAAAGCUCUUUCGGCCGGGAAGAAAUCGCACAGGCUAAUACUCUGUGUGGAUGACGGUACCGGCAUAAGAAGCACCGGCUAACUACGUGCCAGCCGCCGCAGUAA
RNAcentral lists this ribosomal RNA (504 nucleotides) under uncultured bacterium. RNAcentral's name for it is "partial 16S ribosomal RNA". It matches the Rfam family "Bacterial small subunit ribosomal RNA", at positions 30 to 523 of the family's 1533-position model. The record is from RNAcentral.